GCCUGGAUGGUCUAGUGGUAUGAUUCGCCCUUAGGGACCCCGAAUUGGACCUUGAAUUUGAAAUUGGGCGAGGCCCCCAGUUCGAUCCUGGGUCCAGGCC
This is a non-coding RNA of Ceratobasidium sp. 394, 100 nucleotides long. NCBI's taxonomy places the organism in Eukaryota, Fungi, Basidiomycota, Agaricomycetes, Cantharellales, Ceratobasidiaceae. The record is from the annotation of a GenBank genome assembly.